GUCUACGGCCAUACCACCCUGAACGCGCCCGAUCUCGUCUGAUCUCGGAAGCUAAGCAGGGUCGGGCCUGGUUAGUACUUGGAUGGGAAAGGGCUGAGGGUGUUAGUUGACG
This 112-nucleotide ribosomal RNA is filed under the name Canis lupus dingo (dingo). The record is from RNAcentral. Lineage: Eukaryota; Metazoa; Chordata; Mammalia; Carnivora; Canidae.